Molecule: ribosomal RNA, 312 nt
Filed under: uncultured bacterium
Lineage: Bacteria
Description: bacterial SSU rRNA
Rfam family: Bacterial small subunit ribosomal RNA
Source: RNAcentral
AUUGAACGCUGGCGGCAGGCCUAACACAUGCAAGUCGAGCGGCAGCGGGAAAGUAGCUUGCUACUUUUGCCGGCGAGCGGCGGACGGGUGAGUAAUGCCUGGGAAAUUGCCCAGUCGAGGGGGAUAACAGUUGGAAACGACUGCUAAUACCGCAUACGCCCUACGGGGGAAAGCAGGGGACCUUCGGGCCUUGCGCGAUUGGAUAUGCCCAGGUGGGAUUAGCUAGUUGGUGAGGUAAUGGCUCACCAAGGCGACGAUCCCUAGCUGAUCUGAGAGGAUGAUCAGCCACACUGGAACUGAGACACGGUCCAG